AUGCUGGAGGUAUCAGAAGUGCGAAUGCUGACGUGAGUAACGACAAAACGGGUGAAAAACCCGUUCGCCGAAAGACCAAGGGUUCCAGUCCAACGUUAAUCGGGGCUGGGUGAGUCGACCCCUAAGGCGAGGCCGAAAGGCGUAGUCGAUGGGAAAAUGGUUAAUAUUCCAUUACUUCUGUGUAAUGCGAUGAGAGGACGGAGAAGGCUAAAUCAGCCUGGCGUUGGUUGUCCAGGUGAAAGGAUGUAGGCAUGUAUCUUAGGCAAAUCCGGGGUACUCUAUGCUGAGAUCUGAUAGCAAGCUGUACUUGUACAGCGAAGUGGUUGAUGCCAUGCUUCCAGGAAAAGUCUCUAAGCUUCAGUUACACAGGAAUCGUACCCGAAACCGACACAGGUGGUCAGGUCGAGUAGACCAAGGCGCUUGAGAGAACUCUGCUGAAGGAACUAGGCAAAAUGGUACCGUAACUUCGGGAGAAGGUACGCUGUUGUUGGUGAUGGAACUCGCUUCCUGAGCUGACGACAGCCGCAGAAACCAGGCCGCUGCAACUGUUUAUUAAAAACAUAGCACUCUGCAAACACGAAAGUGGACGUAUAGGGUGUGAUGCCUGCCCGGUGCUGGAAGGUUAAUUGAUGGGGUUAGCGUAAGCGAAGCUCUUGAUCGAAGCCCCAGUAAACGGCGGCCGUAACUAUAACGGUCCUAAGGUAGCGAAAUUCCUUGUCGGGUAAGUUCCGACCUGCACGAAUGGCAUAAUGAUGGCGGCGCUGUCUCCAGCAGAGGCUCAGUGAAAUCGAAAUCGCUGUGAAGAUGCAGUGUACCCGCGGCUAGACGGAAAGACCCCGUGAACCUUUACUGCAGCUUGACACUGAACUUUGACCUUACUUGUGUAGGAUAGGUGGGAGGCUUUGAAGCUGGAACGCUAGUUCCAGUGGAGCCGUCCUUGAAAUACCACCCUGGUAAUGUUGAGGUUCUAACUCUGUCCCGUGAUCCGGGACGAGGACCGUGUCUGGUGGGUAGUUUGACUGGGGCGGUCUCCUCCUAAAGAGUAACGGAGGAGUACGAAGGUGCGCUCAGCGUGGUCGGAAAUCACGCGUAGAG
Molecule: ribosomal RNA, 1095 nt
Filed under: Acinetobacter baumannii
Lineage: Bacteria; Pseudomonadati; Pseudomonadota; Gammaproteobacteria; Moraxellales; Moraxellaceae
Description: partial 23S ribosomal RNA
Rfam family: Bacterial large subunit ribosomal RNA
Source: RNAcentral